Molecule: long non-coding RNA, 379 nt
Organism: Oncorhynchus gorbuscha (pink salmon)
Lineage: Eukaryota; Metazoa; Chordata; Actinopteri; Salmoniformes; Salmonidae
Exons: 3
Source: RefSeq, a predicted model, not a curated record
CCCAGGGUAGCCAGUCCACAAGAAAUGCUGCUGCCAAGGCAUAAGAAAACACCCUCUCUGCCAGUGCCAAGACUGUGCAACCACCAAGGAAAAAGCCGACUCCAGAGGAGCUAGCUGCAGUGACCAUCCAGUGGGCCACUCAAGGCCUGCUGACCAGUCUUUUAUGGCACUACUACAAAGAGAACAGGAAUAGGCAGAGCAUGAAAGGAAGGAGGAGGACAAGAGGAAGAAGGAGGACAAGAGGAAGAAGGAAGAGCAAUUUCUACGAACACGACUUCUGGAAGCAGCGUUUGAUGGAGAGGCCGAGGAAGUGUUAGCAAUUCCAAAGGUGGUGUGACUGAUAUCUGUAAGAUCUGUGGGGACGUGUAAUGAAGACAUG